AUCACCUAUUAUGAAUUGUUUUUUCUCCAUAUAUAUACGUUGGGUUAUAUCUUAUUUCAAGUGGGUAGCUUAUACUCUCUCUGUUCCUUUUUGUUUGAUUGUUUAGAAAAAACACACAUAUUAAGAAAAUAUAUUAAAUGUUGAUUAUAAAUGUAUUAUUUUUAGUGUUUUACAGUUUUCUAUAACUCUAAACCAAUGAUAGUUAACUAUUUUUCUUGAAAAUUACAAUUCACCAAUACUAACCAAUAAAUAUUACAUAGAAAACUUAAAAAAUUA
Molecule: small RNA, 276 nt
Filed under: Arabidopsis thaliana (thale cress)
Lineage: Eukaryota; Viridiplantae; Streptophyta; Magnoliopsida; Brassicales; Brassicaceae
Description: ATSL062410
Source: RNAcentral